CUCCGGAAGUACGCAUCCACAUACAUCCACUCAUUUCCAUAUCCAGAUUCACCCAAAAUUAUUCUACUCCUAUCUGGGAGAGAAUAGCCAAAAACAUUCUCCUAUUUCUGUUUUCCCCUGUGAAAUAAAUGCUCAAGUUAUUUCGGUUACUACCACUUGCUACAUUAUUUUAAGAGAUGAGUGUUUUAAAAAAAGUGAAAAAUACGAGGAAAUAAAAAGGGGCAAGUGCCCGGAACCUCGAAAGAAAAGAAAAAGUGAGACGAGAGGUAAAAAUGGACAAGUGUCCGGCAGUAGAAUUAGGGGUACAAGAUACCCACCUGAGAGAAAAGAAAAAGAAAAUAUAGAGCAUCUCAUUCUCCUCAAAAAGUUUCAAAAGAGCAAGAAAGGUAUGUAUCCCCUCAAAAGAGCACAAGUAGAAUUAGACUUUCACCAUUGUUAUCACCAUCAUCACCAUACACCAUUCAUUCGCCACACAUGCACACCUUGAUUUGACUUAUUGACUUGUUCUUCUGGAUCCAUGGUUUGACUAUGCCAUAAAUGUCUCGUAAGUAUGUAUUAGCUGUCUCCCACCUAUGAGCUCCAGAUAUCAAAACCUUAUUAGAGUAGGGUGAGAGAGAAGGUAAUGGCAUUAUGCCUCAUACUAAAAAUACCACAUACUCUG
Molecule: long non-coding RNA, 661 nt
Filed under: Sorghum bicolor (sorghum)
Lineage: Eukaryota; Viridiplantae; Streptophyta; Magnoliopsida; Poales; Poaceae
Description: long non-coding RNA (SBIC_LNC017856)
Source: RNAcentral